Molecule: ribosomal RNA, 177 nt
Filed under: Ophiocordyceps sinensis
Lineage: Eukaryota; Fungi; Ascomycota; Sordariomycetes; Hypocreales; Ophiocordycipitaceae
Also listed under: 1 other name
Description: 5.8S ribosomal RNA
Rfam family: 5.8S ribosomal RNA (bases 15-168)
About the family: 5.8S ribosomal RNA (5.8S rRNA) is a component of the large subunit of the eukaryotic ribosome.
Source: RNAcentral
AGCAAAUGAAUCAAAACUUUCAACAACGGAUCUCUUGGUUCUGGCAUCGAUGAAGAACGCAGCGAAAUGCGAUAAGUAAUGUGAAUUGCAGAAUUCAGUGAACCAUCGAAUCUUUGAACGCACAUUGCGCCCGCCAGCACUCUGGCGGGCAUGCCUGUCCGAGCGUCAUCUCAACCC